GCAGAGUGGAGAGAAGAGAGAUUGACUUUGCUCACCAUAGGAAGAAUGGGAUGGGCAGUGAACGGAAUGUGUCUCAUAUUUCCACUUAUAGUAGAAUGAAUGAAUGUGUCUCAUAUUUCCACUUAUAGUAGAAUGAAACAGCAAACCGAGGUACAAAAAAGCUAGCCUAACCUUGCUCUUGCUUUCUUCGCAUCCAAGCACUAUUAGAUAGAAAUGAACCCAUAUGGACUAGAGAAAUAGGGGAGCCCCGGCUGUGUAUCGCACUUAUUCUGUAUAAAGAUGAGUCUCUAUGGUAAAGAUGCCUCUAAUCUGUGUCCACUCUCCAAAUUCUAUCGAUAAAGGGCCUAUGUUAUCUAUCUUAUCUAUUUUAUGCCUAAUCCAGCCUAUGUUGAACCAAGCUAUAGAUUGUUGAAGGCCUAUGUUGAACCAAGCUAUAGAUUGUUGAAGCAAGAAGAGAAUCAUAGAUUGAUGUCACAUAGUUCCAUGUUGUAUAUUAGAUUGCUGCAUUGAUUUCCUCUUCUAUAGGGGUCUGUCUGUCUCAUCGGACACCUAUUGCUUGGCCGCUUGCUUUACCAAUGGCUUUCAAGGACGUUAUUGAGAGCGGAGUCCAAACCAAAACUCAUUCAUUCAUUUAGAAAAUACUAGAAUAGCGCUGAAUUAGUUGGUGGCAACCAGGCUGAAACAGCCGAGACCCGACCCAACACCAUAUAUCCUCUUCAUCACAGGAAGAAGGUAAAUCCAUGUAGUUUCUUGAGUUAUAUCGAUGGUAAUCAACGAGAAUAGAAAAAGAAGGCUUGCACAGCUAGGCAGACGGGUCUCUCGCGCCGCCACUACUAUACAUCGAAGGAACAGAACAAAUCAGAAUUUCGAAGACAAGACAGAAGAAAUCAGAAUUCGCAUGGUGGUUUGGAAAGAGAAGAUUGAAGCCCAGCAACAUACUUGGAGUUUUCAUAUACAUUGCCUAGUCAUAAAUGUCGAUACAUCUGACUAAACUAUUCUUGGUCGUCCGCACGAUCAUCACAUGGUGCCAUCCACUUAUCACCAAUGCAUAUCAUACCCCCGCGCCCUAGGAUUGGUAGGCAUAGUGGCGGACAAUGAUCCGGGCUUAAGCUUAUAAUUAAGAAGCCCUAUAAGCAAGCAAGAAGCCCUAUAAGCAAGCGAAGAAAGAAAGAAAAAGGAGAAAGAAGCGGUAAAAGGUUCCAAUUAGGAAAGGAAGCGAGACUCCACUAGAAAUUAGACCUUCCGUCCAUGUCCCUAGGUCCAAAAGAGAAAAGAAAGGGGCUAGAACACUGAAAAUCAACCCGAGGCGAGAGAAACUAUCCUAUUAAGGAAUUGAUCUGUUGUGUGGUGUAGACCGAAAAUCCAUUGAAGGGUUUCUGCCAUCUGUAACUACGAGCGCACGCACCCCUGAUCAGUGCAUUGGGAUGUGUCUAUUUCUAUCUUUUGACUCGAAAUAGGAGAGAGCUGGUUGGAGAAAAAGGAUAUUAGAGUUGAUAGGGUAUCUCUUGACUCGAAAUAGGAGAGCUGGUGAGUUUGAAAAAGGAUCUUAGAGUUGAUAGGGGUAGCCUUCGAUUCUUUCUUUCCAUCAGAGUUAUUUCACAAAGACUUGGUCAUGGUAAGGGAGAAGGGGGGGGAACAAGCACACAUGAAGAGCGCAGUAUAACGAAGAGUUUGAUGCUGCCGUUCAGGAAGGUACCAAAAUGAAUCUAGUGAAUCUAUCUCAAGGUGUGGGUGCGAUGAUUUACUUUGACUUCACGGGCGAGGUAAGGGAGAAAAAGAAUGGAAUAAGCAUCUGACUCUUUCAUGCAUACAAAACUUGGGGCGAUAUUGCUCCGUUGGUAUAACUCUGCUCUUGAUAUUGGGUCGUUCCGAUUACGGGUUAGAUGUCCAAUUGUCAAGGCGGUAAGAAAUCAUCUAGUAAGAAAGAAGAAAGGCGGUAAGAAAUCAUCCAGUAAGAAAGAAUUCAGAAUAUAAAGAAAUAAGAAAUACAUAGAAUAGUAUAAUAUAAAUAAAGAAUAGUAUAAUAUAAAUAAAGAAUAGUAUAAUAGAAUUCAAUAAGAAAUAAUAGAAUAGUCAAUAAGAAAUAAUAGAAUAGUAUAAUCAAUAUUGUAAGAAAUAAUAGAAUUGUAUAUUGUACCUGAACCCGUGGCUCACUUUUCUAAGUAAUGGGGAAUAGGACCGCGCUGAAUGACUCCACUGAUACAAAAAGAGAGGCUGAACGUAGAGGAGGUGCGUUGGUCUAAUCUAGUAUGGAUCUACCAUGGACGAUAGUUUGAGUAAGCGGCUCUCCUGGGGUUAACUCAUCUGGUAUCCCAGGGGCAGAGAAGAGGAUCAAGUUAGCCCUUGCGAAUAGCGCACACUAUAGCACCUUAACCCUUUGAGCGAAAUGUGGCAAUUAACCCUUUGAGCGAAAUGUGGCAAAAGGAAGGAAAGGAUAGGAUAAUUCAGGGACCUUCGUCUCCACCCACCCCGUAGGAACUACGAGAUCACACCAACCAAGGACGUCUGCGGCUUCCAGGGGUCACAGACAGACCAUAGACCUAGUUCAAUAAGUAUAACGCAUUAGCAGUCUGCGGGCAGUAAGGGUAGCCGAAGGGCAAUCACUAGUUCUUAACGCCCAUUCUUCAGACCAAAGAAAGAGUCGGGCGGGAGGCCAGUUCUACUUUAGCUGUAUUCUACGGAAGCACAAGAAUCUUUAGAAUAGGAUUCCCACUCUGAGCACCACCCCUUUUCUAUUUACUCUGAGCACCACCCCUUUUUCUAUUUGGAGAAAAGAAAGAAGAGUUGUUCUCGAAAGAGCACACAGAUUCAAGUUGUAAGCUGUGUUCGGGGGAAGUUCUUGUUUGUCUAUCGUUGGCCUAUAUAGUAUAAAGAAUACGUCGGGGAGGCCUGAGAGGCGGUAGUUUACCCUGGGGCAGAUGUCAACGGUUCGAGUCCACUUAUCUACAGCCCGUGAACUUCACUGAUACUAUAGAUAAGAUAGCUACCCUCCAAUUCGCCAGCCUAUCUUGGGGUUAGUAAAGGCUAUUCGAUUUCGCAUUCAUAGAAGUUGGUUGAGAAGAUCCUUUUCCAUUUAGAAUAGAAGCACUGCACCGUGCACAGUAUUAACAACCUUAAUGGUGAGGUUCAGAAGA
This 3134-nucleotide long non-coding RNA is filed under the name Musa acuminata (dwarf banana). Its description in RNAcentral is "long non-coding RNA (MACU_LNC007510)". Lineage: Eukaryota; Viridiplantae; Streptophyta; Magnoliopsida; Zingiberales; Musaceae. The record is from RNAcentral.